AAUCAACGCUGGCGGCGUGCCUAACACAUGCAAGUCGAACGCGAAAGUCCCGCAAGGGAUGAGUAGAGUGGCAAACGGGUGAGUAACGCGUGGGUGACCUGCCUUCGAGUGGGGAGUAACGUUCCGAAGGGACGCUAAUACCGCAUGACAUCCUGCCUUUGAAGAGGCGGAGAUCAAAGACCGGGGAUCGCAAGACCUGGCGCUUGACGAGGGGCCCGCGUCUGAUUAGCAGUUGGUGGGGUAAUGGCUCACCAAGGCAACGAUCAGUAUCCGGCCUGAGAGGGCGGACGGACACACUGGGACUGAGACACGGCCCAGACUCCUACGGGAGGCAGCAGUGGGGAAUUGUUCGCAAUGGGCGCAAGCCUGACGACGCAACGCC
RNAcentral lists this ribosomal RNA (382 nucleotides) under uncultured bacterium. RNAcentral's name for it is "bacterial SSU rRNA". It matches the Rfam family "Bacterial small subunit ribosomal RNA", at positions 29 to 398 of the family's 1533-position model. The record is from RNAcentral.